RNAcentral lists this long non-coding RNA (5589 nucleotides) under Homo sapiens (human). RNAcentral's name for it is "HSALNT0217807". The record is from RNAcentral. Lineage: Eukaryota; Metazoa; Chordata; Mammalia; Primates; Hominidae.
CUAAAAAUACAAAAAUUAGCUGGGCGUGGUGGCGGGCGCCUGUAAUCCCAGCUACUCGUGAGGCUGAGGCAGAGAAUUGCUUGAACCCGGGAGGCGGAGGGUACAGUGAGCCGAGAUCGGGCCAUUGCACUCCAGCCUGGGCGACAAAGGGAGACUCCAUCUAAAAAAAAAAAAGAAAGAAAGAAAAAAAAAAUAGACCAAAGAACAGUACCUAAAAUCCUCUAAUGUGUGUUGUCUGCGGUGGUCGCGGUCACCGUCGGUUUUCCGUUUGUCUGUGAUGGUGUGCCCUAACUUUAACAUGAGCCUGCGGCAUCUUCUCCAGGAGCCACUGUUAGGACUUUAGGGUGUCCAGCCUGGCUUCCAGAUGUGUUGAGGGCGGGUCCCAGAACCCUUCCCCCCACGAUUUAAUCCACUCCCCAGCUGCAGGUGUGGCCUGGAGGCGGGCACCUGCCACCUGGCUUGGCUGGAGCAGAGUGUCCGGCUCUCCAAGGGUGGCUUGGGGGUCUCUGUUCAUGGAGUUUUGCAAGAGUGGAGGAGGACGUUUCCCUUAGAAAAGCCACUUGUACCCUUCCUGCCAGAGAAAAGUCACUCCCCGAACCCCAUUUGCAGAGUCUGCCCCUGGGCUGGGCUCCCCAGAAGUAAGCAUCUGAGAGGGGCAGUUGGGUCACACCCCUGCGGGCAUCAGGGCUCCGUGCAACACAGUGCCCUUGACCCCAUCCCGCACGCUCCCAGUCGGCCACCCAAACCAGAAAGACGUCCACUUCCAGCUCAGGUAUUUCUGACAACAUGUGCAUUUAUUUGUAUUAGAAGUACAAACGUAGGAAUCCAAAUACAAAUACAGAGGGCGGCCCAGCCACGAGGCCCAGCUGAGGGCACGGCGGGGACGGGACGCACGAAGCGGGGCGCGGCGCCGCCCGUGUCGCCAAGGCACGUCGGGCGCCAGUGCGCCCUCAUUUCACUAGGACACCACGAGCCGCACGGAUAGCGGGGAGCCACGUCCUCUGCGCAGGGGAGGAGGGCGGCGGGACCUCGGGACCGCCCGGAGCCAGGGCCUCCAAUCCCUCGCGGGACGACAGGGACACAGGGGCUACUGGAGGCCACUUGGUGAGGGCGGGUCCCUGCUGGGGCAGGAGGCGCACGCACUGGGGCAGGGCGCGGCCCCCUCGGGGCCAAGCGCAUCCACACCGGUGCUCUAAGAUGAUUCCAAAAUGUUUUCGGAUUCUGGAAUCUCCCGGCCUACCUCCCAUCUGGAGGACAAUGGCUUCACAGGCAGGAAGGAUUCCAUGGGAACAGAGAGCAGUCCGCGCCUCUCUCCUUCCCUUCCUGCCUGGGCCAUCUCCCAGGACCCCUGACAGUUUCACCUCCCACACAGGCUUCACAGAGAGAGGACCCUGCCCACACCCCGGCUGCUUCAAGCCUGACCUGACGCCUUCCUGUGACCUGCGAAUACGACUUCCUAGACAAGGGUGGGGAUGGCUGUUUGCCAUCUAAAUCUUGAAAAGUACUUUUGGCUUAUCGGGUCAACUUGACCAGAAUGCACGAAUGAUCAAGGAGUCGCCCAGGUGUGCACCCCGGUCACAACAGUGAUGCUCAAGGGCUCUCCAAAGGAGGCAGGCUUGUGUGGACCCCAGAGGGACUCCUGAUCAGAAAUUGCAGAUGAAAUUUCUUACGGGUAGAGUUUAAAAUCGCUCAGGAAAAGCACUCAAAAAGAGUUGCAAGAUCAUGGAGUGAAUUCCAAGUGCUUUGUGCCUUGAGAGCACUGAACCGAUACGGUGAUAAGAAUAAUGGUUGGAGACCAGGUGUAAUUCUUCAAGUCUCAAAGGAAAUCACAGAAAAUUUCCAUUUUGGCAGCUGAGAUAAAAAUGAUCAAGGAAGAAGAGGUUUUGUCUGUUUUGUGUUCUAGCCCUUUAGAUAGAGUGGCUCAUUGCUUCCUAGUCAUAGGGAGCUGGAGUCAAUGCAGAAUGGGUUACCGGCCCCUCUCCUGUUGCUUCGAGUGUGGUUAUAUUGCAGAACAACGAAGCAACAUGCCUGCAAACUUACUGCAGCAAGCUAUCACCAGGUAAAAUGAUUUGGUGCGGAGUUUCUAUUAGAGACACUCAUCCCCAUCAGGACUGUGUUGCUGACAUUUUAGAUUGGCCCCAAUUUCCCUUAUGUAGAGUGAAAAUGCUUUGCUCUUGAGAACACGCAUUUUCUCAGUCAAAGAGCCUGCAAAAUCUUUGUACUUAAUUGGUUUGAUGUAAAAUUAAGGGUAAGACUGUUUGGCAUAUAAAGAAAUGAAAUCCUAUUUCCAUCCAUUCAUAAAAGAUAAAUAAAACUUGGCAUGAAAUAUAGCUAACUGCAGGAAAUGGAAAAUCUUAAAAGAUGUGUAUUAUUUGAGCUUUCUGUUUCAUUUUAAGGCAUGUUUUGGGUAAAUUGGGGGCAGUAUUGGCUGGGUCCAGAGUAAAUUAUACUAACUUUGUCCUUCUCUGUCUGGUAUGUAGGGAGUCUCUGUUCUGGUAGGUGGUGUUGGGACUUUGCAGAAGCUGAAGCUUUCUAGGCUCUGAAGAGACAUUUUUCUCCAAUUCCAUUAAUGUGAAAUGCCUUUUCUUUGCUUUCCCCCCACCCAGUAUGCAGCUUAAAAGACAGACAGUCACAGUUUUAAGUGUGAUCCACAGUGGUCAGAAAUUUGGAUUCCAUGUCAAAAUACAGAACUGUCAUCUCCUCAACUUAGAGUAUUUCUGAAAGUGAGGAACACAGUAGCACCUUUGGAAUGCAGAUCACUCAGACAACUUCCACCCCAAAUAUUUCCCAAUUCUGCAUGCAAAGCAAGCUGGGGCUUAGCUGUGUGGAACAGCCUUGCACCUCGUGCCCACACACGUCCCUCCUGAUCAGGCAUCCUGGCAAAGAGAGUCUUUAGUGAAAGAAAGCGUACUUCCUUCCCACUCUCCCCACACUGCUCCUCUCCUUCCUCUAGAAAGUAAACAUGUACAUGAUUAAAAAUCCCCUGAGCUCUGCACCUCACCAAGGCACACCCAUCUCUUCCUCAUUGUGGACUGAAAAGGCUCAUCUCAGGAGUUGAGACUGAUAUGGAGAACUUGAAUUAUGCAAGCCUGCGGAGAACCCGGCAUGGACAUGCUCUUAGGGGGUGCUUUAGCUCUUUUUAUUGAGACCCCCUAGUGGGGAGCCUGCUGUAUAUGCAGGAAUCCACACUAUGAUGCUCAGUUAGUGAAAUCCAUUGGACUUUCUUGAGAUGAAGGUUCUCCUUCCUAGAAAAGGAGCGCUGAACUCAUCUGUUUUGAUCAGGAGGGCUGCUGAGGUUGGGAAGAAGAGAAUGGCUGGAUUCAGAAAACUGAGGUUAUUGGUGUAUUUAUCCUACAUGUAAAAUUUCAGGAGGGUUGCUAACAAUAUCCAAAUGUUGAGUGGUUUUGAAACACAAGGCAUCAGUAAAAUUCUUUUAAGGUAAAAUCAAACAAAUCCAUGUUAUAAAAAGUUGUUUUAGGUUAUUUUCCUCCCAAUAAGAAUUUUUCUAGAAAAUUCAGUUCUCUCCAGAACUUCGUUUACAAUGUAGCAGGUUGCAGUUCUUCAGCUUGUUAGAAAUUACCCAUUCAUAACGUUUGACAUUGUGUCUUAAGACUGCCCUUGGGCCACCUUCCCUUGGCGCUCAGUGCUGUGGUGUGACUUGGAUUCCUUUGGUCAGGGUCCUUGCAGAAUACUUCUGCCAAGGCGGGGGUUGCUUAUGCAUGAGAGACAGAACUAGAGUACCAGAGUGUGAAAUUCUCCAAUAGAGGAGACAUUGCAUCUAAGACAAUAUUUUCAACCUGUUUCUCCACAAAUACUCUUUUAUUUUUAAAACUGAAUUUGCUAAACUGAAGCCAAUUGGCUUGUGGAUUAUGUAGCAACUACCAAACCAAAAGACAGAGAGUUGACAGGGAGAGAAACAAUGGGUUUGAAUGUCUCACGCUGUAUAGACUCCAUCUUUGGAAAUUCAGACAUAUCUAUAUCUUUGCAUCCGUUUAAUAUGCAACAAUCUUAAUAGGAAUAAGCAGAUGAAUCUAAUUUCACUUUUUCUGGCCUCUUCUGCUCCCAUCCUCUUCUGUGUCUGGUAUACAUCCAGGACAUUGUGUGAAAUUGAUACUUUUCUAUACUUUCUCUGCAAAAUAUUUUACGUUUCUGGGUAAUUAUGGUAUGCACAAUAGAUAAUUUUAAAAAUUACGGUUUCUAGGUCAAAUUAAUUCAGUUUUCUAUGUGAGAAAGAUGAGAAGCACAGAGAUUCUGGUUUCAAAUUUUAACAAUGCCAAAGCAUUAUUAACUAACUGGUAGGACUUGUGUUUUGCCUAUUGGUGAGGAGAAGUUUCAAAACAGUCUUCUGCAGUUCACAUUGGCAUCCAGUUAUAACAAAGAACUAACAGCAAGCAGCAAGUUGGUUUUGUAUUAUAAAAAUAUCAAAAGAGUAUUGAUUUGGGGGGAUAUUUUUUCUUUGGGAUUUUGCUAUGUAUCCAUAUUUCAAAGUAUAAAAUAAUCUUGUUCAUCAAAAUAUGUACUUGAUGAUCACCAUUGCCCAUUUUUUUGCAUCUAAAGUUGGUUUGAGUUGAAAAUUAAUAUUCACUAAUUUUUUUUUUUUAAUUUUGGCCGGGCAUGGUGGCUCAUGCCUGUAAUCCUAGCACUUUGGGAGGCUGAGGCGGGCAGAUCACCUGAGGUCAGGAGUUCGAGACCAGCCAGGCCAACAUGGUGAAACCCCGUCUCUACUAAAAAAACCCAAAAAACAAAAAACAAAAAUACAAAAAUUAGCCGGGUGUGGUAGCGCACACCUGUAGUCCCAGCCACUUGGGAAACUGAGGCAGGAAAAUCGCUUGAACAUGGGAGGCAGAGGUUGCAGUGAGCUAAGAUUGUGCCACUGCACUCCAGCCUGGCCAGGUGACAGAGCAUGACUCUGUCUCAAAAAAAUAAAAUAAAAAUAAAAUUUUAUCUACAUGUCUUUCACAUUCCGGUGUAUGUCUUCAAGAUAACAGGUUGUGUUCACUGUAUACCUUUCUUUGCAAAAUGACAAUUACCGAACCCAUAAUAAUAUAACAUAAGCUGGACACAUACUCGAGGGUUGAGCGUUGGUCUAGUGAAAAACAGCUCUUAAGGUGAAAUGCUGUUGAACUAGUCCAAGAACCCAAAGUUCAAAUAUUGUUGACUCUCAGUAAGUUGGAAUAAAGUAAUAACCUUCUGAUGUUCAGAGAUAAUCAUCUUUGACCCCAACAACAUGAGCAUUUUGAAAAUCUUAUUUUCUCCUCCAAUGGAAACCGUAGACAAUGCGAGUGUACUCUCCCCAGGCCUAGAACGAGGUUAUUAGGUAAAGGAGUGCCAGCUAACGAUGAUGGUGCUGGAGCCAGAGAGGCCACAGAGAAAGGAGACUGGGGUUGGAACCCACUGCUGUUCACACUGGAGCACACACAUGCCCAGGCUGAGCCAGCAGGAGUGGGUCUCGGCCAGGGGUGAUUCAACACUCCUGAGUGCUACUACACCCAGGGCUGCAAAGGAAAGAUACAGAAGGACUAGAGGCCUGAGAGAGCAUCUCAGACAUUCACGUGCACAUUUUACAGAUUUCUUUGCAAGGGUAAUCAG